Molecule: RNA transcript, 4557 nt
Organism: Ostrea edulis (European flat oyster)
Lineage: Eukaryota; Metazoa; Mollusca; Bivalvia; Ostreida; Ostreidae
Gene name: E3 ubiquitin-protein ligase TRIM9-like
Exons: 6
Source: RefSeq, a predicted model, not a curated record
UCUCUCAAAACCGGAUAUCUAUUUUGAAAGCUUAUUAUAUUUUUAUGGUUAAUCUCGCCAUUUCCAGAUGUUCGGUUUCGGAAAAACAUAGAUCUGAUAUUAACAAAAUAUAUUUUUCAACUUGCUCGAUAUACAAGAAAGUGUUUAUUUUCCGCCAUUUUACCUAGCCGCUACAUUGAGCAAACCGUUCAAGAUCGCUAGCUAUCUAACACGCAGCCCCUAGGCUAGCCGCUACGAUCUUGAACGCAGCCAGGUUCUCUCCGUCCAGACAUCCGGGGAUCACGUGUAGGUUAGCGCCAUUAUUUAUAUGUGUGUGUAUAGGACGAAAUACUUAUUAGACUAAUUUGGUACCUUGUCUCCUAGACCAGACAAUGGACUCCCAACACAGUGCCCAGGACGUGCUGCGCUGUGACCUAUGUGACACUCCUGUACCCCCGAUGUACUGCGACCUUUGUGAGGUCAAACUCUGCAAGGCCUGUGUUGGAGAGCACCUUUUCGAUUUAUCCAAAGAGCAUAAAGUUGUGCCAUUUGAACCAAGGCUCUCCACUAUGAAAUACCCUAAAUGUUCAAAGCAUGACAGGAUCUGCGAGCUCAACUGCGAGAAAUGCAAUGUUCCUGUCUGUGUUGGCUGUCUGUCGUCAAAUUCCCACAAGGGACACGCCUUGCUGAACGUUCUAGAAGUCCUGAUGUCUAAAAGAGAGAAUAUGGAAACGGAUAGAAAGGAGUUGGAAGACGAUGUUGUUCCCAAAUUUGAACAAAUUCUCUCGGAAUUAUCUGACGUCAGAAAAUCCUCGUUGGAAGAUUGUAGGAGACUGACAACAGCUGUCAUCAAACAAGGCGAAAUCUGGCACCGAGAAAUAGACAACAUUGUCAACCAGCCGAAAUUGAGAAGAUGAUAAAUGAGCAGAUGAACAUCUUAGAAAAACAUGAGGCAGAAGUCAGAGCACUUAUUUCUCAAACAAAACAGAGUGCUCUUGAUCUGAAAAAAUCGCUCAUGUCCAAAGACGCCUCUCUCUCCUUUUCAUACGAAUAAAAAAACACACAGUUCGAUACAUGGUGCAAACUUCCAAUCGUGAAAAUGUCCUUGCCAACAUUUUCACCCCCACAUAUGAACACAGAGAAGCUACGAAAACUGUUUGGUUCCCUGAGAGGUGAACGUUUCAUAUACAUGUAUCUUCUCCCGAACUUAUUCCCCAUCCUAUGUAAUCUGUAUAGACCAUCAACAUUUCUGCACGGAAUCAAAACCAUAUCUGAAAUAAGAAAUACAAAUGCAGUGAUGUGUAAUAUUGUCAAGUGAGAGGGGUCUUUUAUACUCGUGUCUCCAUGCAAUUUAUUAUCACACUCUAGAUGGAAAUUGAAUAUCUUAAAGAAAUACUAGCAUUUAGAUGAAAACCAAAUUUUGUCCUUAACAUGUUUUAACAUGAAAUUGAUCAAAAUCAUCAAAUUAAACACUUAAAUUUCCUUAUCUCCAGUGCCAGAUGUCUCAAGGAAUACUAGCAGGAGGGGUGCAUCAGCCACAAAAGACAGCACCAGAAGUUCUGAGGAAUAGCGCGGGUGCACCAGCCAAGAAAGACUAUACGGGGAAAUAUUACUGCGGUAGGAAGGUACUGAGAUGUCGAUGUUGUGAUGGAUACUGUGGACCAGACAACAGCUGUAACUGUGAACCUUGUCAGGAACUGGCCUUAAAAGAACAAUUGAGAGCGAUGCUUGGUGUUUUCCGUUAGAAAUGAAAAAGCGCUGAAUUCAAAUUACUACUGAACGGAGAGCAUCAUUGCGAGGGGAGGGCCUCCAGACCUUGUUACCAUGGAUAUUGUUGACCGAGGAUGAUUUUAAAAUGUUGACAUUAAACGAAGUGUUUUGCUUUUUAGAUCGCCUGAGUAAACUCAGGUGACCUAUUUUACUCAGGUGACCUAUUGCAAUUGGUUUUCGUCCGUCGUCAUCCGUCGUGCGUUAACAAAUGAACAUUUUUAACUUCUUCUUGAUAACUACCCGUUCAAUUCUUUUAAAAGUUGGUAUGAAGCAUCAUUGGGACAAGGGGGACAUACAUUGUAAAUUUCAGGACUCCAGCACCCCUAGGGCCCUAGGGGUGGGGCAAAAACUGCCCAAAAUUGACCAAUAUUCAAAAAUCAUCUUCUCAAGAACCACACAAAUGUAAGAAAAACUAAAUGCAUAGUGAUGUAGAGCAGGAAGGCUUCUACCAAACUUGUCAAUUUCAUGAUCCCCGGGGUAGGGGUUCUGACCUUAGGGCGGGGCCGAUCUUGCUAUAUAGUGUUUAUGUGUAAAACACUUAAAUAACAUUUUCUUUAGUGCUAUUGAUACUAAAUUGAGAGUAAAUAGAUAUUUAGAAAGAACAGAUAGUCCUUUACCAAAAUUGUAAAUUUUAUGAUCACAGGGGUAGGGGUUUUGGUAUCAGGGUGCGGCCAAAAUGGUCAGUUAUUAAAUGUGUGAACAAUAGACAUUUUUAACUUCUCCUUGAUAACUAUCAUUCCAAUUCUUUUCAAAUUUGGUGUGAAACAUAUUUGGAACAAGGGGAACAUAAAUUGUAAAUUUCAGGAUUCCUGCACCCCUGGGGCCUUAGGGGUGGGGCAAAAACUGUCCAAAAAUUACCAAUUUUCAAAAAUCUUCCUCUCAAGAACUACACACAUGCAAGAAAAACUAAAUGCAUAGUAAUGUAGAGGAGGAAAGCCUCUACCAAAAUUGUUAAUUUCAUGAUUCCCGGGGUAGGGGUUCUGACCCCAGGGCGAGGCCAAACUUGUUAUAUAGUGUUUAUGUGUAAAACACUUAAAUGACAUUUUCUUUAGUGCUUUUGAUACUAAAUUGAAACUAAAUGGAUAGAGCAGGUAGUCUUUUAGCAAAAUUGUAAAUUUGAUUUUCUUCAGAGUAAGGGUUUUAACCCCAGGGUGGGGCGAAACUUAGUAUACAGUAUUUAUGUGUAAGUUUGCUGAUACUGUAUAAAAUCUAAAUGCAUACUUAGGAAUAACAGAAAAGGAUGUAUAAAAAUGGUGAAUUUCACAACCCAGGGUUAUGACUUAAGAAUGAGUCCAAAUUAGUCAUACCUUUUGAUGUUUUAAUGUUAAUACACCUAUUAUUUAAAGCCUUUCAUCAGUGUAUGCACUUUUGAGAGCAUUGAAGUUUUAAGAACACAUCUUGUUUUAUACUGUUGCUGAACAUUAGAAUUUAGCUUAGAUAUUCAGAGCAGGAAUUUUUUUUCUAGAUUUCAUAGCCCAUGAAAGUAGUGAUACUUUUUCACUAGUAUUCAGGUGACCGAUAAGGCAUGUGGGCCUCUUAUUGUACAUUAUAAAUGAUUAGAAAAUAUAUUGCAUUUUGAGAAAUUCUUGAUUUGGAGCAGUUAUUAUUUUUUUGUAUCAACAGUGUACUUUACUGUGACGGUUAUAAUGAUACACUACAGCUACUAUAAAAACAAUAUACAAUUCUAAUAUGCUGAUUAUAAAGUAUCACAAACUGUAUAAAAGUGGAAAAUACUUCUACCCUUCCCCCCUCAUUAUUAACUCCCGUGCACAAAAUGUAUUCCCAAUUUUGAUUUUAUUCAAAAAUUAGAAAUCAUGUAAACUUUUUGAUGUUGAAAAUUUUCAAAACAUCCCCAUGUUUCCUUAAGUUAAACUGGCGACAUUUGAUCUUACCCUAGUUUCUAGGUCCCAACAUCCUCUCAUCAUUUCUGAAGAUCUCGUGUCUCUAUCAGUUCAGGUUCUAAAGUUAUACAUGUUUUUAUGACCAUGGUCAAAGGUCAAGGUCGCUGGACUUAUUCGACCUUGAUACUGCUUUGUAGGUCCUAUCAUUAUCAUUUCUGCAGAUCUGAGGUCCCUAUCAGAUUUGGUUCUGAAGACAUAUCAUUCUAUUUUCUAGGUAAGAGUUUGGUGUCACUGGAGUACUAGAUUCUAUUGUCAUUUCUGUAGAUUCCGUGUCUUUAUCGGUUCUCGAGUAAUACGAGUUUUCUACGAUCAAUGUCACUGGAGUUACAUGUUUGUUAGACACAAUAUCAUUCUAUCAUAUCUAAAGAUUUCAUGUCUGCAUCGGUCCUGAUUCUAAAGUAAUACGAGUUUUUAUUAUCAAAGUCAAGGGUUAAGAUCACAGGAGUCAUUUUACCUUCCUACUUGUUUGUAUUUUCUUAUCAUUUCUGAAGAUCCAAUGUCUAUCAAUGAGGAACCGGAGUCGGUUAUCUUAUCUUGUAUUGAUAGAGGGCGCCACAGGCAAAUCCGGCCCUGAACAAAAAAAAAAGAUAAAUGUUGAGAAGAUGAGUUAUCAGCAACCAUUCUCGAAUGCGAUUUCGGGAAACACAAACACUACCUUUUACUUACGAUGGCAUCCAGAUGUGGUCAUAUGGCAAUACCUGAACUUAGGAAAGAGUUAGAAAAGUUUGGAGCAAAGAAAUCGGGAAGAAAGUGGGAACUUGUAAGAAGACUUAAUUGAAGCAUAUAGAAGAAAUGAACAUCGUGCAAGGACCGAUAUUUCUGGACCUGAAUUUAUUAUUAUGUCACCCGAUCCACAACUCUACAGGGACCUUCAUUGUGAUAAGAGCUUUUCAAAUUAAAAGGAAUG